GUAGCAAAAAGUUUGGGAUCCCAUUCUUUGUGAAAUCCGUGUAUUUAUCUAUAUCGUUACUUUAAAAGAUGUUUACAUUCUUUGCUCUUCUCUUCGGCAUCCCUGUUAUAAUGAUAGAACAAUAUUCAUCAUCAUAGAAUUAGGUAGCAUCGUAAAUGAAUUAUCAGACAAACCAAUUACCUGCAACGAAAAGAAGAAUUUGCAUUGUGGUCUCUUAGCUUGGAGUGAGAAUAUAAACAUGAUGUUUAGUGAGCAAUAUUAUAGUUUUUAAUUAAAAAAAUUAUCAGCUUGAAAAUUUUUCCUUCCACCUUUCGUCAAUAAAUCCUCAACUCCUCCGUGAUCAGAUAUGAUCCCAGUUUAUACCUCAAUAUAUUUCUCUACUCGUACGCUUCAAUGUUGUUGUUGAAUUGCUGACCUUUGGUGCAUUUAUUGUGCUGUAGGUAGUGUUGUAGUAAUAUUUAUGGCUAGGAUGAAAUAUUGGUUAGCCAUAGAAUGCUUUGAUAUUUUGGGUUCCUUGGUGUCAAUGCUGAGAGUAAUUAAGAGCAAGCAUCUGUUAUGAUGCCCAAGUUGGUAGAAGGGGAGCCACAAGGUGGAAGAAGUAUCAAGUAUGUAUUAUUGAAUUAAAAGAUUUUUAAAAGCGUAAUUUGUACAUUAUCUAAAGAAAGUUGAGGUAGAAUUCAAUAUUGAGGUAGUUGAGACCUGAAUGGCAAGAACAAGUUACUAAACCAAGCAUAUUUCUAUGUAAUCUUAUUUUGAAUUCUUCAUGUGUUCAUCCUUCUUUUAAUUCUUUGAAUGUAACUACUGAUCUUCCUUGGUACCCAGGAGUUUACUAGACAUGUUUCAGUUCAAUUAUUUCCUCACUUCAUUUCAUUUAAUCAUAUAUUCAUGUUCUUUUCCUCUUCCGAAAUUAGUUACUCUUUUUAUUUGCAUAGCUGUUAUGACAUGGUUUGUUUAUUGAAGCUUCAGUUUUUACUAAAAUUGAAGCCUUUCUCCUAAUUUAUGUAUUUUUAUUUCUUGUUUAUUCUGAAUUUUGGUUACAAUUUGAUCUAGUUAGAGGCAGGGAAGCAGCUAUUAACUCCUGCUGGCAAUUUGCAUAAAUCCAUUCUUCACCUUCCUUGAGUUGCCACUUGCCGGGAUAUUACAAUUUUGUGAAGAAUAAAUCUGUAUUAACAUAGCUAUUAGUUAGCAAGCUGCAGCCGUUAAGUUGAGCACUGUGAUGGAUGCCUCGAGAAGAAAAUAUAAAAAAGACCCAACAGCUUUAGAGUGCAUGGUGCAAUCAAUGGAAACUGUGUUUUGGAGCUGAAAUCUCUAGUUCCCUAUCCCUAGGAUUUGAGAUGGUGUUGUAUUUAAGUAUGUAUUUUUGUAGAGAAAAGAAGAAAAAAAAAAGAAAAAAGAAUGCUUGUGUAAUAACCUUAUCUGUUUUGGAAAAUUAUAUCAAAGUGUCCAUCUAUUUACAUUUAUAUUUAAUUAAAUUAAUAGUUGAUUAAUUGUGUAGCAUAGUCCAUAGCUACCUCGUUCAAGUUUUGAACAAUAACAAUAACAAUCAUGCUAUAUUGCUAUGCAAUAAUUAACACCAGACUUCAAAUAUGAUAAUAUUUUGGUUAUUAUUAUUUUGUUUGGAAUUUGGACACUCUUGUCUUCUCCGACAUAUAAUACAACUCAACCUGUGUCAAUCAAGGAUAGAAAGGAGAAGAAGGAAAAAAUUUUUAAUUUGGAAUAACCAAACACAGCUUGAAUUAUAAUUACAGUGUAGCAAAAAGUUUGGGAUCCCAUUCUUUGUGAAAUCCGUGUAUCUAUCUAUAUCGUUACUUUAAAAGAUGUUUACAUUCUUUGCUCUUCUCUUCGGCAUCCCUGUUAUAAUGAUAGAACAAUAUUCAUCAUCAUAGAAUUAGGUAGCAUCGUAAAUGAAUUAUCAGACAAACCAAUUACCUGCAACGAAAAGAAGAAUUUGC
Molecule: long non-coding RNA, 1952 nt
Filed under: Arachis ipaensis
Lineage: Eukaryota; Viridiplantae; Streptophyta; Magnoliopsida; Fabales; Fabaceae
Description: long non-coding RNA (AIPA_LNC002098)
Source: RNAcentral